GACGAACGCUGGCGGCGUGCCUAAUACAUGCAAGUCGAGCGGAACUGGGGGAGCUUGCUCCUUCCAGUUUAGCGGCGGACGGGUGAGUAACACGUGGGCAACCUGCCCUGCAGAUCGGGAUAACUCCGGGAAACCGGUGCUAAUACCGAAUAGUUUGGCGCCUCUCCGGAGGCGCUACGGAAAGACGGUUUCGGCUGUCACUGCAGGAUGGGCCCGCGGCGCAUUAGCGAGUUGGUGGGGUAACGGCCCACCAAGGCGACGAUGCGUAGCCGAACUGAGAGGGUGACCGGCCACACUGGGACUGAGACACGGCCCAGACUCCUACGGGAGGCAGCAGUAGGGAAUCUUCCGCAAUGGACGCAAGUCUGACGGAGCAACGCCGCGUGAGUGACGAAGGUUUUCGGAUCGUAAAACUCUGUUGUGAGGGAAGAACACGUACCAACUAACUAUUGGUACCUUGACGGUACCUCACCAGAAAGCCACGGCUAACUACGUGCCAGCAGCCGCGGUAA
This 512-nucleotide ribosomal RNA is filed under the name uncultured bacterium. Its description in RNAcentral is "partial 16S ribosomal RNA". It matches the Rfam family "Bacterial small subunit ribosomal RNA", at positions 28 to 523 of the family's 1533-position model. The record is from RNAcentral.